This 610-nucleotide unclassified non-coding RNA is filed under the name Hevea brasiliensis (rubber tree). The record is from RNAcentral. Lineage: Eukaryota; Viridiplantae; Streptophyta; Magnoliopsida; Malpighiales; Euphorbiaceae.
AUAAAUCUAUGAUUAUGAUUAUGGUUUUAUUGAAUCCCACAUUACACAACAACCGAACCCACAAUCACUUCUCCUUCUCCUUCAGCUAAAACGCACACUGGAAACUAAACGACAAUCACUUCUUCUCCUCCUCCUCUAGCUCAAAGGCAGACACUGGAAAAGUCCUCGAUAUCCCUGUUGGAUUACCGAAAGUUAUUUUCUUAGUAUCGCCAGAGUCCACAUAGAUAUCAGAGAUCGUAACCCAAAUCAGAAACUCCUUGCUCUUCACCCCAGUCAGCCUCCGCAUCCGCCGGUCCUCCACGAACGCCGUCACCUCCUUAUCGUACGACACGUUGCGUCCAAUUGCACGGAAUUUGUGCUCUUUCCUUUUCUUCUGCUUGAGCCAGACGAACCCAGUGGUGCGAUUGUAGCCAACCUCAACGAUGUCGUCAAGGGGCAGGAGGCCCAUGGGGAGGCGGAUCUCCUGGAGGAGGUCGAGGGACUUCUGCUUGCAGAGGGACUCGCCGUGGUAGAUCUCCGCUCCUUCUCGGUGAUUUGUUAAUGGUUGAGACGUCAUUUGGGUAAAUGGAGUUUUCACUCGAAAAUAGGGGUUAUUUUUUUUCGCAAAGGA